Molecule: non-coding RNA, 98 nt
Filed under: Mycobacterium triviale
Lineage: Bacteria; Bacillati; Actinomycetota; Actinomycetes; Mycobacteriales; Mycobacteriaceae
Description: Glycine sequence
Rfam family: Glycine riboswitch aptamer
About the family: This family represents the bacterial glycine riboswitch.
Source: RNAcentral
CGCCCACGCGCGGGAGAGUUCCGUGGCCGCCAGUCACGGACGCCGAAGGAGCAACACCUCUCCGUCAACCUCUCAGGCACCCGGACCGCGCCUGGCCC